CAAGAGGCCUGCUUGGAACUGGCUCUGGUUCAGCUUUUAACAGAGAGGACAAAGAGGAUCUUUGCUUUUAGCGCAUUGCCCACCCAGUUGCAAAGAGUGAAAUGUUGCAGGGAUUCUGGAUGGUGAGCAAAUGGCAGAGUGUGUGGCAAGACCGGAUCUCACUAGGAAAGGGGACAAGGAAAACCUCCACAUCUCAAGUAAUGGAUAGAUGAAAAACCAACUUCUGUAAAGGAUCAGCAGUAUCCUCAGUUGCAAGAGCCCCAUGUCAUCACCUGGGAGAGCAGAGUGGAGUUAUAAGAAGGUUAUUAGAAGAUUUCAGAUGUACAAGCACAGACCCAGGGAGGACGGCUGGAACACCUCACUGGGGUCCUGUUGAGGAGAACUGAGAUUGCAGAAUGGGCACCCUAAGUCACACAAGAGCAUUCAUCUCAAGAAAAGGGGGAGUCAAGACUGGUAACCCUGGCACCAUAACAUGGUCUGGAGGUUGGGCCAGGUAGCAGUGGGUGCUGGCAUUAGCACAGCAUGUGGCCUAGACUGAAAACCCAUCAUAGCCAAUUGCCCUGUA
RNAcentral lists this long non-coding RNA (565 nucleotides) under Pan troglodytes (chimpanzee). RNAcentral describes it as "long non-coding RNA NONPTRT007556". Lineage: Eukaryota; Metazoa; Chordata; Mammalia; Primates; Hominidae. The record is from RNAcentral.